RNAcentral lists this ribosomal RNA (163 nucleotides) under uncultured bacterium. RNAcentral describes it as "partial 16S ribosomal RNA". It matches the Rfam family "Bacterial small subunit ribosomal RNA", at positions 1336 to 1500 of the family's 1533-position model. The record is from RNAcentral.
UAGUAAUGGCAGGUCAGCAUACUGCCGUGAAUACGUUCCCGGGCCUUGUACACACCGCCCGUCACACCAUGAGAGUUGGGAAUACCCGAAGCCUGUGAGCUAACUUAUAGAGGCAGCAGUCGAAGGUAGAAUCAAUGAUUGGGUGAAGUCGUAACAAGGUAGC